Dipodomys ordii (Ord's kangaroo rat) is the source of this 65-nucleotide non-coding RNA. The record is from Rfam. Lineage: Eukaryota; Metazoa; Chordata; Mammalia; Rodentia; Heteromyidae.
GGUGGCUCAGUGGUAGAGUGCUUGCCUUGCAUGCAUGAGGUCCUGGGUUCCAUUCCUCAGCACCA